RNAcentral lists this ribosomal RNA (488 nucleotides) under uncultured bacterium. Its description in RNAcentral is "partial 16S ribosomal RNA". It matches the Rfam family "Bacterial small subunit ribosomal RNA", at positions 28 to 507 of the family's 1533-position model. The record is from RNAcentral.
GACGAACGCUGGCGGCGUGCUUAACACAUGCAAGUCGAACGCGCCUGUCCUCUGGGUUUCUGGGGGGUGGGUGAGUGGCGAACGGGUGAGUAACACGUGAGUAACCUGCCCCCUUCUUCGGGAUAACGGUCUGAAAGGGCUGCUAAUACCGGGUAUUCACUGGUCUCCGCAUGGGGUCUGGUGGAAAGGUUUUUUUCUGGUGGGGGAUGGGCUCGCGGCCUAUCAGCUUGUUGGUGGGGUGAUGGCCCACCAAGGCUUUGACGGGUAGCCGGCCUGAGAGGGUGACCGGUCACAUUGGGACUGAGAUACGGCCCAGACUCCUACGGGAGGCAGCAGUGGGGAAUAUUGCACAAUGGGCGCAAGCCUGAUGCAGCGACGCCGCGUGAGGGAUGGAGGCCUUCGGGUUGUGAACCUCUUUCGCCCGUGGUCAAGCCGCGACGGGGGUCGUGGUGAGGGUAGUGGGUAAAGAGGCGCCGGCUAACUACGUG